Molecule: transfer RNA, 69 nt
Filed under: Pseudognaptodon sp. QL-2014
Lineage: Eukaryota; Metazoa; Arthropoda; Insecta; Hymenoptera; Braconidae
Description: tRNA-Gly
Source: RNAcentral
AUUUAUAUAAUAUAAAAAGUAUAUUUAAUUUCCAAUUAAAUUGUUUAAUUAUUUUAAUUAAUAUAAAUA